Long non-coding RNA from Choloepus didactylus (southern two-toed sloth), 193 nucleotides. RefSeq lists it as uncharacterized. The record is from RefSeq and is a predicted model, not a curated record. The transcript has 3 exons. Lineage: Eukaryota; Metazoa; Chordata; Mammalia; Pilosa; Megalonychidae.
GUCAGUGUUACCAGGGGAGCAGCAACUUCCAAGAGAGGACAGUGCAGCAUCAGUGAAAUUUCAUCAGCUAGACACCCUAACUUUUCAGCCUCUGGUUGGGUUGACCAGAAAAAGCUUCCAGAAUGUCUGUUUAAAGUGUACCUGUUGCCAAGAUAGGUGAGUGAUCCUAAAACUUCCACUCAACAUCACAGAG